AACCCUUAUUGCUAGUUACCAUCAUUAAGUUGGGGACUCUAGCGAGACUGCCAGUGAUAAACUGGAGGAAGGUGGGGAUGACGUCAAAUCAUCAUGCCCCUUAUGACCUGGGCUACAAACGUGAUACAAUGGCUGAAACAAAGGGCAGCGAAGCAGUGAUGUGAAGCGAAACCCAAAAAAGCAGUCUCAGUUCGGAUUGAAGUCUGCAACUCGACUUCAUGAAGUCGGAAUCGCUAGUAAUCGCGAAUCAGAACGUCGCGGUGAAUACGUUCUCGGGGUUU
RNAcentral lists this ribosomal RNA (281 nucleotides) under uncultured Acholeplasma sp. RNAcentral's name for it is "partial 16S ribosomal RNA". It matches the Rfam family "Bacterial small subunit ribosomal RNA", at positions 1100 to 1382 of the family's 1533-position model. The record is from RNAcentral. Lineage: Bacteria; Bacillati; Mycoplasmatota; Mollicutes; Acholeplasmatales; Acholeplasmataceae.